RNAcentral lists this long non-coding RNA (1356 nucleotides) under Equus caballus (horse). RNAcentral describes it as "lncRNA (ENSECAG00000054903.1)". The record is from RNAcentral. Lineage: Eukaryota; Metazoa; Chordata; Mammalia; Perissodactyla; Equidae.
GAUUGCUCCCGGCCGAGAAGCCCCGCAGCUAGAAUGUGGUUUUUUUCCUCCUCAGAAAGGGAAAACUGCGAGACUUGAAGCGCGACUGCAAGUGCUUCUUCUGGUCAGCUUGGAGGUCUCCGAGCCCCGGGAUUGGCGGCCCAAACCCCUACUCUUCCCGCCCUGGGAGGAAUCUGAAUCGGAGCCAAUUCAACGCGCUCGGAGCCCCCAACACCCAAGCACCCACAUCUGCUCUGCAGCGCGAGCGAGAAAGCUUGCGUGGAGCUUGCGGGAUGGGGCGUGCAUGGAGCGGAUGGCGAGGAGGGACGCGGGGGACGACCGAGGCUGGGGGAAAAGCGCCGGGAGAGGGGUGCAGUCCGAUCUGCCCCACGCGCUGGGGGCGCGGGCUCCCGUGCGCCCCAGGCCAGGCCCCGAAGCGAGCAAACGUGAGCGCAGAUCGGCCUCCCUUUCACCAGAGAGCGGGCGUUUCGUUGAGAAGGAAAACCAUCCGGAAAGAAAGUCAGCUUGCGCAUUUGUUUUGGCGUUUCGUCUGUUUGCCUCCCAAUUAAAAAGUGGCCGCCUAGGCGACAGCUUUGCGGUUUUCACAGUGUAAAACGGAUUAGAGGAAAAGCUCCAGCCCCUCUCGACUUUCGCUUGCGGUUUGCAACCCCCGGGGCGGGUGUGACCCUGCGACACCUGCGCAGGCGAGCUUCCCCUGCGGCGGCCCGACAGCGGCCCCGGCUUCCCUGGGGCGGGGCCCCGCAGGGCGGAGCCAGGGCUGCGCGCCCGGGGGAAGGGAGGUUCCCACGGUGCAGGUCCUGGGUGUGCUGGUGUCCUGGGGCAGCCCCCGGGGGCCUCCAUCUCCAGGACACGGAGGAGGGAAGAGCAAAGCAAAGGAAUUUACUGCAGAUGGCACUGGAACCAAAGUUGGCGUGUUCCUGUCCUGCUCAGUGCUCGUAGGUUUUCCCCAAGAAUCCAGAAUUCGCUGAGGACACUUAUAUCCAAGAAACGAUGAGUUAACACGCACAUUUAGUUAAAAAGAAAAAAGGAAAGAAAGAAAAACUGCUCUUCUAUCCUCUCCACGUUCCCAGAUUUCACCAAAUAAACCAAGGGUCCGGGCGAGAAUAGGCUGAAGCUGGGGCGCCGGAGAUGCGCAAGGAGGGGUUCCCGCGGGCGCGUCGCCCCUCCGCGGCCUCUUGCACCCGCAACUGCCCACGAGUUUGCGGGGUGUGGGCGCCGGAUGCGAUUCCCGGAUCGGCCAGUCUCAUCCCGAACACUUGGAUCCGAAAGAUCCGUGGACAGACCCUCGGCGACGCUUUCCUGCUGGCUUUCUGCUUUUAAUAAACGAAAAUAAAGUUUGCUUUCAGGUUAAAAAAA